UUUACCUAUGCAGCUCCUGACAUAAUCAAAACAAAAUUCCAGCAUCUGAGAGACUUGGGGGUACAUUCUAAGAGAGAACAACACCCUAGCAAAAGCACUGUUUACUGCUCAGAGCCCUGGAGGAACUGGUUCUGCAGACUGCUGACCCCAGGGGAUGUCUGACACAAGGGCGCCCGCAGAGCUCAUUUAACUUAAUGCCCUUCCUCUACAGUUCAGCAAACAUGAUCAUCCUAAGCUCAAAGCUACCACAGCUUUCCAGAAAAACACCCAAGUGGUUUGCUGAUCAAAAAUUCUCUGAUUCCAAAG
This 306-nucleotide long non-coding RNA is filed under the name Ursus maritimus (polar bear). Its description in RNAcentral is "lncRNA (ENSUMAG00000009396.1)". The record is from RNAcentral. Lineage: Eukaryota; Metazoa; Chordata; Mammalia; Carnivora; Ursidae.